GAAUUUUGGACAAUGGGCGAAAGCCUGAUCCAGCAAUGCCGCGUGCAGGAUGAAGGCCUUCGGGUUGUAAACUGCUUUUGUACGGAACGAAAAGUCUCGGGAUAAUACCCUGGGACCAUGACGGUACCGUAAGAAUAAGCACCGGCUAACUCUGUGCCAGCAGCCGCGGUAAUACAGAGGGUGCAAGCGUUAAUCGGAAUUACUGGGCGUAAAGCGCGCGUAGGUGGUUCGUUAAGUUGGAUGUGAAAUCCCCGGGCUCAACCUGGGAACUGCCUUUGUGACUGCAGGGCUAGAGUACGGCAGAGGGGGGUGGAAUUCCGCGUGUAGCAGUGAAAUGCGUAGAUAUGCGGAGGAACACCGAUGGCGAAGGCAACCCCCUGGGCCUGUACUGACGCUCAUGCACGAAAGCGUGGGGAGCAAACAG
Molecule: ribosomal RNA, 424 nt
Filed under: uncultured bacterium
Lineage: Bacteria
Description: partial 16S ribosomal RNA
Rfam family: Bacterial small subunit ribosomal RNA
Source: RNAcentral